CAAUGGGAAGACAACCAUAACAACAUGAACUGAAUUAAUCAGUGCGCACGACUAGUUAAAAACAAACAUCCUUUGACAAGAAGUUUCUAAUUAAAUCAUGGCUGCGUCUGGGCAGCAUUAUUAUGAGAAUGAAGGUGGAUGUGCUGCUACUUCCCACUCCCCUUGAUGAGCAACAAGCACCUGCAUUGAGUAAUGCAAGAGUGAGAUGAAACAUCUCAGCAAGCUAAUUGUUCUGACGAGAUAUUUAAACCACAAAUUGAAUUCAUCAACAUUUUAAAAGAGUCACAAUUAAAAAUCAGAAAUGCUUGUAGAUAUAGAACUCAGUAGUCCCACUAUAACCAAUACCAUCUCAUUUCCUCGAACAACCACAAUAGGUUCUAUAACACUUCCCUGCGUCAACAAUACCUGCAAAUAUCACUUCAAUGUAUGCAUAGGAAUGCAAUGUGUAGGUACUCUAUCUUCAUACCUCUGGGGGUAUAAAACCACAUCAUCUGCAAAUAUCACUUCAAUGAAUGCAUAUGAAUGCAAUGCAUAUGUCCUCUGCCUUCAUACCUCUAAGGGUAUGAAGUCGCAUCGUACCCCUUCUCGGGCAACGUACGAUGCUAAGUUGUACCGGUACGGUCGGACCAUAGGUCACGACAAAACUUCAUAUGCAAAUGAGUCAUGCAAUGUAUAUGGCAUGCUACAUUUAUCAAUAAACUUCACUUCCUUCAGAUACAACACAAACCUCAAAUAAUACUUCAUUUACCUUCAGAUACAAUACCAACCUCAAAUAAUACUUCAUUUACCUUCAAGGGUGUGAAUUAAUCUCAUGAGUCAUACUCAAAUCAUAAUCAUCAUCAAUAUAUGAUUGAGCAUCAGUAUAAUGCAAGCAAGUAAAGCAUCACCAUAGAGUCCAAUUAUGAAAGAAUCUGAUACUUCUGAAUAUUAGAGUGUAGGCGAUAGAAAUAACAGGUCAGAACGGAAGCAACCACCGCUACAUUCACUUGCCUUCAUCAAAGAAGAAGAAAUGUACUAGACAUGAUCUGGAGUGUAGCCACCUAGGGUUUCCCCAAGAAAUCUUCAAGAGGAGAUGGGGAAGAACAUCUCCUUGAUCCUCUCUUCCUCUUCAAUUCAACGUGCCCCUCCUUUUCUCGAUCCUUGCUGCGUAGGGGGAGAUCUUGGGGGAGGAAGCAAUGGAGGAUGGCUACCAUAGGGGGAGGGGGCGUCCAGCCAAGGGGGAGAAAAAGGGGGUGGCGGCCAAGAGGGGGGGGGUGAAGGGAAAAAAAGGGGUGGCCACCUAGGGUUUUUGUGGGAGAAAGAAACGACGCCUCAGAUGACUUCUAUCUUUGCAUCCAAUGGCCCACAACCCUUUACCUCAUCCACGCACCAGAGAUUAACUUUUGGUCAACAUUUUUUUUGGGAUAUUACACUCUACCCCCCUUAAAAAGAAUUCGACCUCGAAUUCGGCCACUCCAAGCAAAACACCCAAGGUACCCCAUAUAGCACCACAAUUCAAAACAUGGGUCCAUUAUUGGUCUUAAUUAACACAAGAACUUCUACCUUGGACUAAUUGUAUAAGGAAACUACGCGACCUGACAUCAAGCAUGAAACAACAUGUAAUGAAGCUCAAAGCAUGUCAUAGUUGCAAUCAACACUCCAAUUUCACACCAUCAAAUUUGGAUGCAGCUAUACAUCAACAUCAAUGUCUUAAGACAACACUCUUUUAUGAAGGGGUAAUAUGCACCAAGCACAACCCUUACCAACUUCAACCAUUAAUUUUAAUUAAAUGGUGAAACAUCUACACCCGACGAAUGUAUAAGAAGAUCAAACACCUCACCUUAAAGCACUAUGAAACAAGUAGUUCUAUUGGAACAAAACUCCUAAUCUUCCUAAACCUUAUUCUUGCCAUCAUGAAAAGAUAAUCAUGUAAUCUAACAUUCCUUGCACCCCACCAAAAGGGAGAAAAUCUAUAGAACUAAUGGAGCAAUAAAGCCAAAAGAAGCCAAUAACAUCUUGUGCGGCAUAGUUCAUCGAAGAAAUGCCAAAAACUCUACAUAGAGCACUGAUAGCCCAACAACAACACAAUACUUGCUUAACCCAUGUCACUAUACUUCAUUCAACAUCUCAACUAAGAAAAAUAUCCAACUAGUAAGGAUAACCUACACAUAAUAUAAGUCUUCAUCUACUGUAGUUCAGAAACUUACAUUUCAUUCUAUCAUACGAUGCACUCAAAGUACCAGACAUACAAAGUCAAUAAUAAUAACCCCUAAUCCUUCACACAUUUGACAAACAUAUUAAGCUGAUGUAAACACCACAUGAUCUAGGAAUAGGUGACUAGCCACACCCAACCAACUCUAGGCUAGGCAAGGACUUCCUUCAAACCAAUAGAUAGGUGGUCUAAAAAAAUGGCUCCACAAGCAUGCAUCAAAAAGGGAACCAUCAGAUCCUCAAUGUAUCAAUACAUAAUCAAUGGACCAAGAGAAUCAAAGAUUUAUUCUACAAUUAGUAUGACUAACAGGCAACCACUUUAAACCACAUCUAGGCUUUGUGGCAACUAAAACACACAAUAUGAGAGAGACAUGUAAGCCAUUCUGGCUAUGAAAAGACUUCCCCCAAAAAUCCAUAUAAAGUACCAAUAUUCAUUUCUUUCAAAAUUGGUUUCUCAACAUAAAUAAUCAUUCUUUGCAAUGAUAGUUGGAGCUAUCCACCAACCGCUCAACAACUUAAAUUCAAAUUGAUGAUUACCUUGUACCCCAAAACACGCAAUUCACACUGCUCUUAGAAACAUCCACAAUCAAGCAUAUAUAACAAUAUUAUUGUAAUAAAACUCAACCAUGAAAAACAUGGUGAAAACAACAUAGGCAUACUUGUAUAUCACAAGCAUAAUAACAACUUCAUUCUCACCAAUGACCAACGAUAUCUACCGCAUUAAUAAAACAAUAUCAAAAUUUCAGAAAUAAAUUAUAUCAAGCAUUAAGCCAUAAACAACUUACCACAUUACCGUAAAGGAAUAGGGAGGGGUGAAACUAUUGUCAUCUGCACUCCAAAGACAUUAAUAUAUAUCAAAGAUAUUUGAACCCAUACCCUUCCUAUAUGUGCAAGUGUGUCAAAUUUAUCUUCAAAUUGCCAAGAAUAUAAAGCCUAUGCUUUGAUACCAACUGUAACACCCCGGGAUCCACAAACACCCCAGAAUGCUACUAAACUACACAUCUAAUAUUCAUAUAUAAAAUUUCGACAUCAUCUCCUUUGAAAAUUGCAUAAACGGGGGAAGCAACAAAGUAUAAAUAGAUAUCAUGAUAAGAAAACAUAUAAGACAUUAAUAAUCUGCUAGCAAUGGGAAGACAACCAUAACAACAUGAACUGAAUUAAUCAGUGCGCACGACUAGUUAAAAACAAACAUCCUUUGACAAGAAGUUUCUAAUUAAAUCAUGGCUGCGUCUGGGCAGCAUUAUUAUGAGAAUGAAGGUGGAUGUGCUGCUACUUCCCACUCCCCUUGAUGAGCAACAAGCACCUGCAUUGAGUAAUGCAAGAGUGAGAUGAAACAUCUCAGCAAGCUAAUUGUUCU
This 3547-nucleotide long non-coding RNA is filed under the name Zea mays. RNAcentral's name for it is "long non-coding RNA (ZMAY_LNC003342)". The record is from RNAcentral. Lineage: Eukaryota; Viridiplantae; Streptophyta; Magnoliopsida; Poales; Poaceae.